AGCUAAUACUUGCUUUAGCACUCUUGAUUAAGUUCUUGAGUGUGUACUUGUUAAGCCUUUUAAGAAAAAAGUUAUUAACUUAAGGAAUUAUAACAAAGAAGCAACACGUAAAUGGAUUUUCCAUUUUUUAGUGUGUAUCAAUCGAGUUUCUGACCUAUCAGCUUUUGAUGUUAGGGUAUUGGCCUAACAUGGCUAUGACGGGUAACGGGGAAUUAGAGUUCGAUUCCGGAGAGGGAGCCUGAGAAAUAGCUACCACAUCUGAGGAAGGCAGCAGGCGCGUAAAUUACCCAAUUCUAAAGAAGAGAGGUAGUGACAAGAAAUAACAAUACAAGGCCAAUCUGGCUUUGUAAUUGGAAUGAUGGGAAUUUAAAACCUUCCCAAAACUCAAUUGGAGGGCAAGUCUGGUGCCAGCAGCCGCGGUAAUUCCAGCUCCAAUAGCGUAUAUUAAAAUUGUUGCAGUUAAAACGCUCGUAGUUGAAUUUCAAAGAAUCGAUAUUUUAAGUAGCACUUUGUAGAUUAAUCCACAUAACUGAUACUACGUAUCGACUUUGUGCGCAUUUUUCUACUUAUGUGUUCUUUUAAUUAAAAUGAUUCUUUUUAAGAUCUUUCUUUUUUGCUUCGGCAUUUUAGGAGAUCUUGUUACUUUGAGUAAAUUAGAGUGUUCAAAGCAAACAGAUUAUAGCAUCUUUAUGCGUUUGAAUACUACAGCAUGGAAUAACAAAAUUGAACAAGUCAGAAUUUUGUUCUUUUUUCUUAUUUUGGCUUAGUUACGAUUAAUAGGAGUAGCUUGGGGGCAUUUGUAUUCAGAUGUCAGAGGUGAAAUUCUUAGAUUUUCUGGAGACAAACAACUGCGAAAGCAUUUGCCUAAAAUACUUCCAUUAAUCAAGAACGAAAGUUAAGGGAGUGAAGACGAUCAGAUACCGUCGUAAUCUUAACCAUAAACUAUGCCGACUAGGCUUUGGAUGAAAGAUUUUAAAAUAAGAGUUUUUUCUCUGAGGAGUUAAAACUCUUAGAUUGCUUCCUUCAGUGCCUUAUGAGAAAUCAAAGUCUUUGGGUUCUGGGGCGAGUAUUCGCGCAAGCGAGAAAGUUAAAAGAAUUGACGGAAGGGCACCACCAGGCGUGGAGCUUGCGGCUUAAUUUGACUCAACACGGGAAAACUCACUAGUUUAAGACAAGAGUAGGAUUGACAGAUUAAUAGCUCUUUCUUGAUUUCUUGGAUGGUGAUGCAUGGCCGUUUUUAGUUCGUGAAUAUGAUUUGUCUGGUUAAUUCCGAUAACGAACGAGAUCUUAACCUGCUAAUUAGCGGCAAAUACGAUAUAUUCUUAUGUGGAAUUGAAUAUAGUUGAUUUGCUUAUUUUGAAGAAAAUAUUGGGAUACGUAAAUGUAUCCCUUUCCCUUUUCUACUUAAUUUGCUUAUCAUACUAUUUCUUCUUUGCGUAAGAAUGUAUUUGCUUGAUUGUAAAGCUUCUUAGAGGAACGAUGUGUGUCUAACACAAG
This 1497-nucleotide ribosomal RNA is filed under the name Plasmodium sp. Its description in RNAcentral is "SSU rRNA". It matches the Rfam family "Eukaryotic small subunit ribosomal RNA", at positions 162 to 1439 of the family's 1831-position model. Lineage: Eukaryota; Apicomplexa; Aconoidasida; Haemosporida; Plasmodiidae. The record is from RNAcentral.